This is a small nucleolar RNA of Acomys russatus (golden spiny mouse), 129 nucleotides long. RefSeq annotates it as small nucleolar RNA SNORA17. NCBI's taxonomy places the organism in Eukaryota, Metazoa, Chordata, Mammalia, Rodentia, Muridae. The transcript has a single exon. The record is from RefSeq and is a predicted model, not a curated record.
GAGGCCCCUAAAGACAUUGCAGGUGUUGCUGCUGUGUCAAAUGUGCAUCAGUAGGUAGCAGAGAGGAGAAAGGCUAUGUCUAUGCUUAAUGUUAUGACCUGUGAACAUCUGGGUGAUUAGCCUGAAGCU